This 301-nucleotide ribosomal RNA is filed under the name uncultured bacterium. Its description in RNAcentral is "partial 16S ribosomal RNA". It matches the Rfam family "Bacterial small subunit ribosomal RNA", at positions 509 to 807 of the family's 1533-position model. The record is from RNAcentral.
CAGUCGCCGCGGGAAUACGUAGGUGGCAAGCGUUGUCCGGAAUUAUUGGGCGUAAAGCGCGCGCAGGUGGUUUAAUAAGUCUGAUGUGAAAGCCCACGGCUCAACCGUGGAGGGUCAUUGGAAACUGUUAAACUUGAGUGCAGGAGAGAAAAGUGGAAUUCCUAGUGUAGCGGUGAAAUGCGUAGAGAUUAGGAGGAACACCAGUGGCGAAGGCGACUCUCUGGUCUGUAACUGACGCUGAGGAGCGAAAGCGUGGGGAGCGAACAGGAUUAGAUACCCGUGUAGUCCCUGUCUCUUAUAC